GAGUGGCUUAUGCUUUCGCAAUUCGAUGGUUGCCUUUUUGAUGAUUGAUGCAAGAGAUUUUUUCACCACUUUCUUUUUCUGUUGCUUUGCUCCCAUACCAAAUUUCUUUUUUAGCUUCAUCAUGUUUGUAACAAAAUAUGAUGCAGCCCUCUCACUAAUGCUACUAUCCGCUGCUUUUACUCGAUCCCAAGCCCUAUUGUUCAGGUCAGGAGCUUUCGUUUCCCCCCCGCGCGACUCCGAAGCGCUCCCGCUUCUGCAAAGCUCCUCAGCCCGCUCUCGCUUGUAGGGGUCAGAGGGUAAGGGCAGAGAAAACAAAUAGGAAAAUAUAAAUAAGUAUAAUCGUAAGUUUAAAUGAUAGAACCGACCCAUCGAAACGCAUAUGCCGCGACUAGAGUGUAGGGUAGCGCCUUCCAGAACAUGCCGUUUUUCUUCUACCUGCAUUCGCAGCGCCAGCGAAAUCGUACGAUUUUUUGCUUAUUUUUCCUUCCUCCAGUCCUUCGCUCGCGAGCAUCGAGAGCGCGAGAGAGGAUUUGGGAAAAGUUCCGUAGCUUUUGGCUCGUUUGCUAUGCAAGGCACGCUGCGUGUAGAGAAAUUUUGUGACGCUCGCUCACUUGAAAUUGAAAACCAGAGCAAAGCACACGCAUCGUAGAUCAUUUUUACUAUAAUAAUUCCGGCACGUGGAGUAUACAGUUUCAAUCGAAUUAAUAGACCAGUGACAAAACUUAAUAAGUGUUGUGCACGAGUGAGAACGGGGCUAGUUUGGCGCUAGGCGACGGCUCUUACGUCCUUCGCUAGGCGUAGGCGUAUCGCCGGCGUGGCAGCCACACGCGGCAGAAGUUGGCGAUCAUCGACGUGCAACUCAACGCGGUGCAACCGAGCGGCCAUAACCCUACUCUUUGGAAGCCCUACGGCGGCAGCGACGUCGACGUGCAGCCCAACGCUGUGCGACACGAGCGGCCAUAACCUAACUUUUCGGAGGCCCUACAGCGGCAGAGACGUCGACGUGCGGCCAACGCAGCACGUGCGCGUAACCCUACUUUUUGGGUACCUCUGCUUUGCCACGUCGGCUGCCAAGGAGCUAUAGCGAUCCGAGUGCGACCGCACUAAACCGGGAGCGAGAAAUCUCCAAGAGUCAGACCAGAGGCGGCCUGUGUCUGAGUUCUCGGAGUAAUGUAACCGGCCUCGUGCAGCCCCAACUAAGGCGAUUCGGCUGUAUGGACAGCGGCUAAGCAUUACCUUUUCGAGCAUAAGCCAGUAGGAACAGUGGAGGUGCACCUAAGGUAGCUGAGCGGAGACUAGGCAGGAGCAGGCGCAGCCGGAUAGAGAGCUCGCUUGCGCGGCAGGCAUGUGACCUGUCGAAGAAGUUGGAGGCGCGUCGCGGCGAGCUCACGCUGGAUGAUUCCAGUAACCCGAAGGAUGUAGAGAAGUUUUGAGAUCGAUUAAAUUUAGAGUAAUGCGUAACGUUAGCUAGAAAGUAA
This is a long non-coding RNA of Drosophila kikkawai, 1478 nucleotides long. RefSeq lists it as uncharacterized. Lineage: Eukaryota; Metazoa; Arthropoda; Insecta; Diptera; Drosophilidae. The record is from RefSeq and is a predicted model, not a curated record.